UGUAAGCGUAUACCAAAGUUGUUGCAGUUAAAACGCUCGUAGUCGGAAUUUGGCAGUUCCGGAUGUGUGCACGUCGUGUGCGCACUUCGCGGGGAUUGCUUUUGUGGUCUUGCGUAGGAUGAGGCACUUUUAUUAGUGAACGUCCUCACGCAACCACUUUUUACUGUGAGAAAAUCAGAGUGCUCAAAGCAGGCAUUUGCCGUGAAUGUAUUAGCAUGGAAUAAUAGAAUAGGACUUGGUUCUAUUUUGUUGGUUUGUUGGGACUGAGUAACGAUUAAGAGGGACAGUUGGGGGCAUUUGUAUUUCGGUGCUGGAGGUGAGAUUCUUAGAUUACCGAAAGACAAACUGCUGCGAAAGCGUCUGCCAAGGAUGUUUUCAUUGA
RNAcentral lists this ribosomal RNA (382 nucleotides) under uncultured eukaryote. RNAcentral describes it as "partial 18S ribosomal RNA". It matches the Rfam family "Eukaryotic small subunit ribosomal RNA", at positions 592 to 976 of the family's 1831-position model. The record is from RNAcentral.